GUACUUGCUUCAGUAGCACAUAUACUAAAAUUGGAGAAGAUUAGCAUGGCCCCUGCACAAGGAUGACACACAAAUUUGUGAAGCAUUCCAUGUUUUU
RNAcentral lists this small nuclear RNA (97 nucleotides) under Otolemur garnettii (small-eared galago). Lineage: Eukaryota; Metazoa; Chordata; Mammalia; Primates; Galagidae. The record is from RNAcentral.